UUAAGCGACUAAGCGUACACGGUGGAUGCCCUGGCAGUCAGAGGCGAUGAAGGACGUGCUAAUCUGCGAAAAGCGUCGGUAAGGUGAUAUGAACCGUUAUAACCGGCGAUGUCCGAAUGGGGAAACCCAGUGCAAUUCGUUGCACUAUCGUUAACUGAAUACAUAGGUUAACGAGGCGAACCGGGGGAACUGAAACAUCUAAGUACCCCGAGGAAAAGAAAUCAACCGAGAUUCCCCCAGUAGCGGCGAGCGAACGGGGAGCAGCCCAGAGUCUGAAUCAGCUUGUGUGUUAGUGGAACGGUCUGGAAAGUCCGACGGUACAGGGUGAUAGUCCCGUACACCAAAAUGCACAGGCUGUGAACUCGAAGAGUAGGGCGGGACACGUGGUAUCCUGUCUGAAUAUGGGGGGACCAUCCUCCAAGGCUAAAUACUCCUGACUGACCGAUAGUGAACCAGUACCGUGAGGGAAAGGCGAAAAGAACCCCGGCGAGGGGAGUGAAAAAGAACCUGAAACCGUGUACGUACAAGCAGUGGGAGCACCUUCGGGUGUGACUGCGUACCUUUUGUAUAAUGGGUCAGCGACUUAUAUUCUGUAGCAAGGUUAACCGUAUAGGGGAGCCGCAGGGAAACCGAGUCUUAACUGGGCGUUAAGUUGCAGGGUAUAGACCCGAAACCCGGUGAUCUAGCCAUGGGCAGGUUGAAGGUUGGGUAACACUAACUGGAGGACCGAACCGACUAAUGUUGAAAAAUUAGCGGAUGACUUGUGGCUGGGGGUGAAAGGCCAAUCAAACCGGGAGAUAGCUGGUUCUCCCCGAAAGCUAUUUAGGUAGCGCCUCGUGAACUCAUCUUCGGGGGUAGAGCACUGUUUCGGCUAGGGGGUCAUCCCGACUUACCAACCCGAUGCAAACUACGAAUACCGAAGAAUGUUAUCACGGGAGACACACGGCGGGUGCUAACGUCCGUCGUGAAGAGGGAAACAACCCAGACCGCCAGCUAAGGUCCCAAAGUCAUGGUUAAGUGGGAAACGAUGUGGGAAGGCACAGACAGCCAGGAUGUUGGCUUAGAAGCAGCCAUCAUUUAAAGAAAGCGUAAUAGCUCACUGGUCGAGUCGGCCUGCGCGGAAGAUGUAACGGGGCUAAACCAUGCACCGAAGCUGCGGCAGCGACACUAUGUGUUGUUGGGUAGGGGAGCGUUCUGUAAGCCUGCGAAGGUGUGCUGUGAGGCAUGCUGGAGGUAUCAGAAGUGCGAAUGCUGACAUAAGUAACGAUAAAGCGGGUGAAAAGCCCGCUCGCCGGAAGACCAAGGGGUUCCUGUCCAACGUUAAUCGGGGCAGGGUGAGUCGACCCCUAAGGCGAGGCCGAAAGGCGUAGUCGAUGGGAAACAGGUUAAUAUUCCUGUACUUGGUGUUACUGCGAAGGGGGGACGGAGAAGGCUAUGUUAGCCGGGCGACGGUUGUCCCGGUUUAAGCAUGUAGGCUGGUUAUCCAGGCAAAUCCGGAUAAUCAAGGCUGAGGUGUGAUGACGAGGCACUACGGUGCUGAAGUAACAAAUGCCCUGCUUCCAGGAAAAGCCUCUAAGCAUCAGGUAACAUCAAAUCGUACCCCAAACCGACACAGGUGGUCAGGUAGAGAAUACCAAGGCGCUUGAGAGAACUCGGGUGAAGGAACUAGGCAAAAUGGUGCCGUAACUUCGGGAGAAGGCACGCUGGUGUGUAGGUGAAGUCCCUGCGGAUGGAGCUGAGACCAGUCGAAGAUACCAGCUGGCUGCAACUGUUUUAUUAAAAACACAGCACUGUGCAAACACGAAAGUGGACGUAUACGGUGUGACGCCUGCCCGGUGCCGGAAGGUUAAUUGAUGGGGUUAUCCGUAAGGAGAAGCUCUUGAUCGAAGCCCCGGUAAACGGCGGCCGUAACUAUAACGGUCCUAAGGUAGCGAAAUUCCUUGUCGGGUAAGUUCCGACCUGCACGAAUGGCGUAAUGAUGGCCAGGCUGUCUCCACCCGAGACUCAGUGAAAUUGAACUCGCUGUGAAGAUGCAGUGUACCCGCGGCAAGACGGAAAGACCCCGUGAACCUUUACUAUAGCUUGACACUGAACAUUGAGCCUUGAUGUGUAGGAUAGGUGGGAGGCUUUGAAGCGUGGACGCCAGUCUGCGUGGAGCCAACCUUGAAAUACCACCCUUUAAUGUUUGAUGUUCUAACGUUGGCCCCUUACCGGGGGUUGCGGACAGUGUCUGGUGGGUAGUUUGACUGGGGCGGUCUCCUCCCAAAGCGUAACGGAGGAGCACGAAGGUUAGCUAAUCCUGGUCGGACAUCAGGAGGUUAGUGCAAUGGCAUAAGCUAGCUUGACUGCGAGCGUGACGGCGCGAGCAGGUGCGAAAGCAGGUCAUAGUGAUCCGGUGGUUCUGAAUGGAAGGGCCAUCGCUCAACGGAUAAAAGGUACUCCGGGGAUAACAGGCUGAUACCGCCCAAGAGUUCAUAUCGACGGCGGUGUUUGGCACCUCGAUGUCGGCUCAUCACAUCCUGGGGCUGAAGUAGGUCCCAAGGGUAUGGCUGUUCGCCAUUUAAAGUGGUACGCGAGCUGGGUUUAGAACGUCGUGAGACAGUUCGGUCCCUAUCUGCCGUGGGCGCUGGAGAAUUGAGGGGGGCUGCUCCUAGUACGAGAGGACCGGAGUGGACGCAUCACUGGUGUUCGGGUUGUCAUGCCAAUGGCACUGCCCGGUAGCUAAAUGCGGAAGAGAUAAGUGCUGAAAGCAUCUAAGCACGAAACUUGCCCCGAGAUGAGUUCUCCCUGAGACUUUAAGUCUCCUGAAGGAACGUUAAAGACGAUGACGUUGAUAGGCCGGGUGUGUAAGCGCAGCGAUGCGUUGAGCUAACCGGUACUAAUGAACCGUGAGGCUUAACCUU
This 2903-nucleotide ribosomal RNA is filed under the name Klebsiella pneumoniae. Its description in RNAcentral is "bacterial LSU rRNA". It matches the Rfam family "Bacterial large subunit ribosomal RNA". The record is from RNAcentral. Lineage: Bacteria; Pseudomonadati; Pseudomonadota; Gammaproteobacteria; Enterobacterales; Enterobacteriaceae.